RNAcentral lists this ribosomal RNA (1014 nucleotides) under uncultured bacterium. Its description in RNAcentral is "bacterial SSU rRNA". It matches the Rfam family "Bacterial small subunit ribosomal RNA", at positions 56 to 1062 of the family's 1533-position model. The record is from RNAcentral.
UGCAAGUCGAACGGCAGCACGGACUUCGGUCUGGUGGCGAGUGGCGAACGGGUGAGUAACAUAUCGGAACGUAUCCAAUAAUGGGGGAUAACUAAUCGAAAGGUUGGCUAAUACCGCAUACGCCCUGAGGGGGAAAGCUAGGGAUCUUCGGACCUGGCGUUAAUGGAGCGGCCGAUAUCUGAUUAGCUAGUUGGUGGGGUAAAGGCCCACCAAGGCGACGAUCAGUAGCUGGUCUGAGAGGACGACCAGCCACACUGGAACUGAGACACGGUCCAGACUCCUACGGGAGGCAGCAGUGGGGAAUUUUGGACAAUGGGCGCAAGCCUGAUCCAGCCAUUCCGCGUGAGUGAAGAAGGCCUUCGGGUUGUAAAGCUCUUUCGCAAGGGAAGAAAACUUAUCCUCUAACAUAGGAUGAGGUUGACGGUACCUUGAUAAGAAGCACCGGCUAACUACGUGCCAGCAGCCGCGGUAAUACGUAGGGUGCGAGCGUUAAUCGGAAUUACUGGGCGUAAAGCGUGCGCAGGCUGUUUUGUAAGUCAGAUGUGAAAUCCCCGAGCUCAACUUGGGAACUGCGUUUGAAACUACAAGACUAGAAUAGGUCAGAGGGGGGUAGAAUUCCACGUGUAGCAGUGAAAUGCGUAGAGAUGUGGAGGAAUAUCAAUGGCGAAGGCAGCCCCCUGGGAUCAUAUUGACGCUCAUGCACGAAAGCGUGGGGAGCAAACAGGAUUAGAUACCCUGGUAGUCCACGCCCUAAACGAUGUCUACUAGUUGUUGGUGGAGUAAAAUCCAUGAGUAACGCAGCUAACGCGUGAAGUAGACCGCCUGGGGAGUACGGUCGCAAGAUUAAAACUCAAAUGAAUUGACGGGGGCCCGCACAAGCGGUGGAUUAUGUGGAUUAAUUCGAUGCAACGCGAAAAACCUUACCUGGCCUUGACAUGUACGGAACUUUCCAGAGAUGGAUUGGUGCUCGAAAGAGAACCGUAACACAGGUGCUGCAUGGCUGUCGUCAGCUCG